CUCGAACCAGGAAGUCGCCGUCUCGCUGCACGAGGUUUUCUGCCACCUGGGGGACGAAAUGAAGACCCAUUCAGUCACUGAAGUACUACUUGCUGACCACCUACGAUGUGCCCAGUGCUGUCACAGGCACUGGGUGCACAGCCGUGAGUGGAGCCCAGCGCGGUGGAGCUCCUGCUGCGGGGGAGUGAACGAGCCACUGGGAAGGCACGUGAUGUGGCGGAGUGAAGGGGAAAGUAACCCGGGAGAAAUUCCAUUUCUUGGACUUGAGCCUGAGGAAAUAAUUGUAGUUGUGAACACAGAGUUAUUGUGGAGGAGGCUGGCCCGAGUGCCCGUGAACCUCGGUGCGUGUGCACGGCGGCGCACACACGGUGCAGAAGAAGAACACGCCACAGCUGGAGACACCUCCCAGGGCACGCCACCAAGUGGGGAGAGCGGGCUACCACCCAGUGUACCGCGUGACCUUGCACUUGGUUUAGAAAAGUCUGGGAGGAUUGAUAUCACACUGUUCACAGGGGUUUCCUCCAGGAUGGAGAAUUGUGGGUAAGAGUGUAAUUUUCUUCCUUUUUU
Molecule: long non-coding RNA, 567 nt
Organism: Phyllostomus hastatus (greater spear-nosed bat)
Lineage: Eukaryota; Metazoa; Chordata; Mammalia; Chiroptera; Phyllostomidae
Exons: 3
Source: RefSeq, a predicted model, not a curated record